UUGUAUAAUGGGUCAGCGACUUAUAUUCUGUAGCAAGGUUAACCGUAUAGGGGAGCCGCAGGGAAACCGAGUCUUAACUGGGCGUUAAGUUGCAGGGUAUAGACCCGAAACCCGGUGAUCUAGCCAUGGGCAGGUUGAAGGUUGGGUAACACUAACUGGAGGACCGAACCGACUAAUGUUGAAAAAUUAGCGGAUGACUUGUGGCUGGGGGUGAAAGGCCAAUCAAACCGGGAGAUAGCUGGUUCUCCCCGAAAGCUAUUUAGGUAGCGCCUCGUGAAUUCAUCUUCGGGGGUAGAGCACUGUUUCGGCUAGGGGGUCAUCCCGACUUACCAACCGAUGCAAACUACGAAUACCGAAGAAUGUUAUCACGGGAGACACACGGCGGGUGCUAACGUCCGUCGUGAAGAGGGAAACAACCCAGACCGCCAGCUAAGGUCCCAAAGUCAUGGUUAAGUGGGAAACGAUGUGGGAAGGCACAGACAGCCAGGAUGUUGGCUUAGAAGCAGCCAUCAUUUAAAGAAAGCGUAAUAGCUCACUGGUCGAGUCGGCCUGCGCGGAAGAUGUAACGGGGCUAAACCAUGCACCGAAGCUGCGGCAGCGACACUAUGUGUUGUUGGGUAGGGGAGCGUUCUGUAAGCCUGCGAAGGUGUGCUGUGAGGCAUGCUGGAGGUAUCAGAAGUGCGAAUGCUGACAUAAGUAACGAUAAAGCGGGUGAAAAGCCCGCUCGCCGGAAGACCAAGGGUUCCUGUCCAACGUUAAUCGGGGCAGGGUGAGUCGACCCCUAAGGCGAGGCCGAAAGGCGUAGUCGAUGGGAAACAGGUUAAUAUUCCUGUACUUGGUGUUACUGCGAAGGGGGGACGGAGAAGGCUAUGUUAGCCGGGCGACGGUUGUCCCGGUUUAAGCAUGUAGGCUGGUUAUCCAGGCAAAUCCGGAUAAUCAAGGCUGAGGUGUGAUGACGAGGCACUACGGUGCUGAAGUAACAAAUGCCCUGCUUCCAGGAAAAGCCUCUAAGCAUCAGGUAACAUUAAAUCGUACCCCAAACCGACACAGGUGGUCAGGUAGAGAAUACCAAGGCGCUUGAGAGAACUCGGGUGAAGGAACUAGGCAAAAUGGUGCCGUAACUUCGGGAGAAGGCACGCUGGUGUGUAGGUGAAGUCCCUGCGGAUGGAGCUGAGACCAGUCGAAGAUACCAGCUGGCUGCAACUGUUUAUUAAAAACACAGCACUGUGCAAACACGAAAGUGGACGUAUACGGUGUGACGCCUGCCCGGUGCCGGAAGGUUAAUUGAUGGGGUUAUCCGUAAGGAGAAGCUCUUGAUCGAAGCCCCGGUAAACGGCGGCCGUAACUAUAACGGUCCUAAGGUAGCGAAAUUCCUUGUCGGGUAAGUUCCGACCUGCACGAAUGGCGUAAUGAUGGCCAGGCUGUCUCCACCCGAGACUCAGUGAAAUUGAACUCGCUGUGAAGAUGCAGUGUACCCGCGGCAAGACGGAAAGACCCCGUGAACCUUUACUAUAGCUUGACACUGAACAUUGAGCCUUGAUGUGUAGGAUAGGUGGGAGGCUUUGAAGCGUGGACGCCAGUCUGCGUGGAGCCAACCUUGAAAUACCACCCUUUAAUGUUUGAUGUUCUAACGUUGGCCCCUUACCGGGGUUGCGGACAGUGUCUGGUGGGUAGUUUGACUGGGGCGGUCUCCUCCCAAAGCGUAACGGAGGAGCACGAAGGUUAGCUAAUCCUGGUCGGACAUCAGGAGGUUAGUGCAAUGGCAUAAGCUAGCUUGACUGCGAGCGUGACGGCGCGAGCAGGUGCGAAAGCAGGUCAUAGUGAUCCGGUGGUUCUGAAUGGAAGGGCCAUCGCUCAACGGAUAAAAGGUACUCCGGGGAUAACAGGCUGAUACCGCCCAAGAGUUCAUAUCGACGGCGGUGUUUGGCACCUCGAUGUCGGCUCAUCACAUCCUGGGGCUGAAGUAGGUCCCAAGGGUAUGGCUGUUCGCCAUUUAAAGUGGUACGCGAGCUGGGUUUAGAACGUCGUGAGACAGUUCGGUCCCUAUCUGCCGUGGGCGCUGGAGAAUUGAGGGGGGCUGCUCCUAGUACGAGAGGACCGGAGUGGACGCAUCACUGGUGUUCGGGUUGUCAUGCCAAUGGCACUGCCCGGUAGCUAAAUGCGGAAGAGAUAAGUGCUGAAAGCAUCUAAGCACGAAACUUGCCCCGAGAUGAGUUCUCCCUGAGACUUUAAGUCUCCUGAAGGAACGUUAAAGACGAUGACGUUGAUAGGCCGGGUGUGUAAGCGCAGCGAUGCGUUGAGCUAACCGGUACUAAUGAACCGUGAGGCUUAACCUU
This 2336-nucleotide ribosomal RNA is filed under the name Klebsiella pneumoniae IS39. RNAcentral's name for it is "LSU rRNA". It matches the Rfam family "Bacterial large subunit ribosomal RNA", at positions 608 to 2925 of the family's 2925-position model. The record is from RNAcentral. Lineage: Bacteria; Pseudomonadati; Pseudomonadota; Gammaproteobacteria; Enterobacterales; Enterobacteriaceae.